Molecule: ribosomal RNA, 356 nt
Filed under: uncultured bacterium
Lineage: Bacteria
Description: bacterial SSU rRNA
Rfam family: Bacterial small subunit ribosomal RNA
Source: RNAcentral
GCGGGAAACUUGUGCUAAUACCGGAUAAGCCCUUACGGGGAAAGAUUUAUCGCCAAAAGAUCGGCCCGCGUCUGAUUAGCUAGUUGGUGAGGUAACGGCUCACCAAGGCGACGAUCCAUAGCUGGUCUGAGAGGAUGAUCAGCCACACUGGGACUGAGACACGGCCCAGACUCCUACGGGAGGCAGCAGUAGGGAAUCUUGCGCAAUGGGCGAAAGCCUGACGCAGCCAUGCCGCGUGAAUGAUGAAGGUCUUAGGAUUGUAAAAUUCUUUCACCGGGGAAGAUAAUGACGGUACCCGGAGAAGAAGCCCCGGCUAACUUCGUGCCAGCAGCCGCGGUAAUAAGUUUCCUGUGUGA